RNAcentral lists this ribosomal RNA (468 nucleotides) under uncultured bacterium. RNAcentral describes it as "partial 16S ribosomal RNA". It matches the Rfam family "Bacterial small subunit ribosomal RNA", at positions 28 to 507 of the family's 1533-position model. The record is from RNAcentral.
GACGAACGCUGGCGGCGUGCUUAACACAUGCAAGUCGAACGGAAAGGCCCUGCUUUUGUGGGGUGCUCGAGGGGCGAACGGGUGAGUAACACGUGAGUAACCUGCCCUUGACUUUGGGAUAACUUCAGGAAACUGGGGCUAAUACCGGAUAGGAGCUCCUGCUGCAUGGUGGGGGUUGGAAAGUUUCGGCGGUUUGGGAUGGACUCGCGGCUUAUCAGCUUGUUGGUGGGGUAGUGGCUUACCAAGGCUUUGACGGGUAGCCGGCCUGAGAGCGUGACCGGCCACCUUGGGCCUGAGAUACGGCCCAGACUCGUACGGGAGGCAGCAGUGGGGAAUAUUGCACAGUGGGCGGAAGCCUGAUGCAGCGACGCCGCGUGCGGGAUGACGGCCUUCGGGUUGUAAACCGCUUUCGCCUGUGACGAAGCGUGAGUGACGGUAAUGGGUAAAGAAGCACCGGCUAACUACGUG